RNAcentral lists this ribosomal RNA (346 nucleotides) under Ixodes scapularis (black-legged tick). RNAcentral's name for it is "partial 12S ribosomal RNA". Lineage: Eukaryota; Metazoa; Arthropoda; Arachnida; Ixodida; Ixodidae. The record is from RNAcentral.
AUUAUUUUAAGCUAUAUAUUAGGAGUAAAUAAAAUUUAUGAAAUUAAAAAAUUUUGGCGGUAUUUUAAGCUUAUUAGAGGAAUUUGCUCUGUGAUGGACACAACGCCUUAAUCUUACUUAAUUUAGUAAUUUAAAUCAGUUUGUAUACCACUAUAUUAAUUAUAUUGAAUAGUUAUAUUUAAUAUUUUUUUUAAAAAAAAUAUAUUAAGUCAAGGUGCAUCUAAUAAUUAUGAAUGAAGUGAAUUACAUUAAUUUUAAUGUAAUUUUUUACAUGAAAAAGUUAAUUAGGAUUUAAUAGUAAAAUACUAAUAUUAUGAGUAUUUGAAUCAAGCUCUAAAAUAUGCAC